Molecule: ribosomal RNA, 252 nt
Filed under: uncultured bacterium
Lineage: Bacteria
Description: partial 16S ribosomal RNA
Rfam family: Bacterial small subunit ribosomal RNA
Source: RNAcentral
UACGGAGGAUGCGAGCGUUAUCCGGAUUUAUUGGGUUUAAAGGGUGCGUAGGCGGACGCUUAAGUCAGCGGUAAAAUUGCGGGGCUCAACCUCGUCGAGCCGUUGAAACUGGGUGCCUUGAGUGGGCGAGAAGUACGCGGAAUGCGUGGUUUAGCGGUGAAAUGCAUAGAUAUCACGCAGAACUCCGAUUGCGAAGGCAGCGUACCGGCGCCCAACUGACGCUGAAGCACGAAGGCGUGGGUAUCGAACAGG